UCUUUUUUUCUUCUUCUUUAAACAGGUUAAUAUUGUGGAAGGGUGGCUAGAAUAUAUCAGACCACAAGCACAAGAGUUCUUAGAAACUAAAACAAUACCAAAACUUGUGAAGCAAAAAGAAGGGCCCCCUACACCUGCACAGGUUGAUUUGUCCCCAAAUGAAGAACUCACUCUAAAUUGGAUUCUGCAAAAUCCAUAUCAGUUUCCAUUUGAGGAUGACACAGAAUGUGCUCAACAAAAUUCGUCUUCGUUGGAUUGCGGCAUGUUCGUCAUGUUCUACAUGGAUAAAAUAGCACAAGGACAGCCCAUUCCAAAAAAUGUGGACAAGAAUUUCAUGAAUGAAUAUCGAGCACAAUAUGUCACAAAACUCCUACACCACAAACACUGUGUAAUUAAUCGUCUCUAGUGAUUUGCCUUUCGUUAACUCAAGACAAUAUGUAUCUUAAUUCUUGUGGAUGUUUGUAAAUAUUUCUAGUUA
Non-coding RNA from Prunus mume (Japanese apricot), 478 nucleotides. The record is from RefSeq and is a predicted model, not a curated record. Lineage: Eukaryota; Viridiplantae; Streptophyta; Magnoliopsida; Rosales; Rosaceae.